AGAAAUUUAGAUGUUAUUUAUGUCAAUCUUGGAAAUUGGAAUAUACUCCAGUUGCAGCUCGGACUUAUCCCUACAAACAAAUUCCACAACUUUCAAUGAAAAUAAACAAAAUAGAAAAGCAACUGGAGUUAACCGACCUUCUUUUCUCCCAAAAACAAAGAUAAAAGGUAAAAGAUUUUCAGAAGGAAACAAUUAAAUUCAAGAAGUCAAUGGCUUACCUCAAAUCUAUAAUUGGGGGACCUGGUAAAUAAAACCCAUCUGAAUUGAAGCUAGGAAAAACAUACACAUCAUGCCAAGUUUGUAUUUUGGAUAUUAAAAAGCAGAUAAUUAAUGGGUUCCUCCAUUUUCGUGGCAAACAAAACGAUGAAAGAGAAACGGAAAAUUUCCACUAUACAGUUGGUAAGUAAACUUAAAGUAACUAACUUGGCGUCGAUGGCUUCCCCUAAUCCUCUGGUUUCGACGUCUCCGAUUCGUAGAACCACCAAAACACCCAAGAAAACAGCCCAUUUACAGACUCCCUUUUAUCUUGAUGUCAGGGAUUUUGAUUCAUUUCUAGGGGAUGAUGAAGAUUUCAAUCUCAGAGUUGGUAAAGGGUCUUCUACAUUUUGGAGAGAGAAAAAGAGGGAGAGAGAAGCGUUGGGAUCCGAGGGAGGAGAAAGCGUGUAAUACCCCCAAAAAAAAAAUAAUAAUAAAAAUUAUUUUAUUUUAAAAUAUAUUAAUUGGAUUUUGUCAUUUAUUUUGAGUCAAACUAGUUAUAUAAUUUGUGUUGACUAAUAAAUAUAGGGUCCUUUACAAUAAUAUACAAC
RNAcentral lists this long non-coding RNA (806 nucleotides) under Panax ginseng (ginseng). Its description in RNAcentral is "long non-coding RNA (PGIN_LNC007898)". Lineage: Eukaryota; Viridiplantae; Streptophyta; Magnoliopsida; Apiales; Araliaceae. The record is from RNAcentral.